CAUACAUAUGCGUAUAUAUAUAUAUAUAGAUAUAAUAAUAGUAAUAUAAUAUAAUAAUGACAAAAGGGCCAAUUUAAAACUUAAAACAGUGAUUUGGGGCAAAUCCACAAUUACAAUAAACAAAAUUGGAGCAAAUUAAAAUAUGCGCAACAGGAGAAGGACCGGAAGGGAAAUUUUCCCAAACCUCCCACACACUGCGUUUAAAAGGGGUUAAAAUAAUAAAAUUGGAAACCAAUGGGGUAAAUUCAGAAAACUAUAGAAACAAAUUAAAGCAAUAAAACAAAUCAAGAGGAUCAAAAACACAAGUAUCCCAUUGGGAUAAAACAUGCGGGCUGUAAGAAGAAGGAAAGAAAAGUUGCUUCAUUUUUCUCCUUUGCUCCUCACAUUGGCAUUCUCCCCUUUUUUUUCAACUCCGAUUCAAACCAAGCGCAGCGAGAGCAUCAACGACAUGCCGCCAUCGGUACAUGCUUGUAUGGGAAUUGCUGCGACGUGGGGCAUGCUAGGCGCUGGAGGUUGCUGAGACGUGGGAUGUUGUUGCGAGGGAAGAACGUGGGCAGUUGCGGCAUAGGGCGAUGGUGGCGUCAAGGCUCUCUGCUGGUUAGGCUUGGGAUUUGGGUUGGUGACUUGGGCUUGUAAUGGGUUUGGGCCUUAGGCUUAGUUGGGCCCGGGCAAUAAUUGGGUAUUACAUACAUGUUAUAGGUUCAAGGAAUAAAUUGAAUAAAAGUAAAUUUUUAGGGUAAUUUUGUAAAAAUGUCAAAAAUGACCAAAUUGCAUGAAAUAAAUUGUUUUAUUAUUUAAGUUAAUAAA
Molecule: long non-coding RNA, 807 nt
Organism: Gossypium raimondii (Peruvian cotton)
Lineage: Eukaryota; Viridiplantae; Streptophyta; Magnoliopsida; Malvales; Malvaceae
Exons: 2
Source: RefSeq, a predicted model, not a curated record